GCAUAUCAAUAAGCGGAAAAAGAAGACUAACCAAAGGAUUUCCCCUAGUAACGGCGAGCGAAGCGGGAGAGCUCAAAUUUGAAAGCUGGCACCUCCGGUGUCCGCGUUGUAAUCUCGAGACGUGUUUUCCGUGCGGACUCUAUGGACAAGUCCCUUGGAAACAGGGCAUCGUAGAGGGUGAAAAUCCCGUACUUGCCAUGGAUGUACCGUGCUUUGUGAUACACGCUCUUAAGAGUCGAGUUGUUUGGGAUUGCAGCUCAAAAUGGGUGGUAGACUCCCAUCUAAAGCUAAAUAUCGGGGAGAGACCGAUAGCGAACAAGUACCGUGAGGGAAAGAUGAAAAGCACUUUGGAAAGAGAGUUAAAAGUCCGUGAAAUUGUCGAAAGGGAAGCGCUUGAAGUCAGCCAUGCUGCGCGGACUCAGCCCGGCUGGAUGCCUGGUGUAUUUCUCAGUAGCAAGUCAGCAUGGAUUUGAGUCGCCGGAGAAGGGUGGGAGGAAUGUAGCACCCACGGGUGUGUUAAGCCUCCUACUGGAUACGGCGAUUUGGAUCCAGGAACGCCGUGUGCCUCUGGCGGGUCUUCGGACACCUUCACACUUAGGAUGCUGGCGUAAUGGCUUUAAGCCGGCCCGUCUUGAAACACGGACCAAGGAGUCUAACAUAUGUGCGAGUUUUUGGGUGGCAAACCCCAUGAGCGUAAUGAAAGUGAAUGCAAGGUGGGAUCCCGCAAGGAGCACCAUCGACCGGUCCUGAUCUUCUGGGAUGGAUCCGAGUAAGAGCAUAUAUGUUGGGACCCGAAAGAUGGUGAACUAUGCCUGAAUAGGGCGAACCCAGAGGGACUCUGGUGGAGGCUCGCAGCGGUUCUGACGUGCAAAUCGAUCGUCAAAUUUGGUAUAGGGCG
RNAcentral lists this ribosomal RNA (898 nucleotides) under Malassezia dermatis. RNAcentral describes it as "LSU rRNA". It matches the Rfam family "Eukaryotic large subunit ribosomal RNA", at positions 38 to 925 of the family's 3401-position model. Lineage: Eukaryota; Fungi; Basidiomycota; Malasseziomycetes; Malasseziales; Malasseziaceae. The record is from RNAcentral.